RNAcentral lists this unclassified non-coding RNA (250 nucleotides) under uncultured Agaricales. Its description in RNAcentral is "sequence contains ITS2". The record is from RNAcentral. Lineage: Eukaryota; Fungi; Basidiomycota; Agaricomycetes; Agaricales.
AAUUCUCAGCCCUCUGUCUCCUUGUGGAGCCUUUGAGGUGCUGGAUGGUGGGAGUGUGCUUUGUUCCCUUUCAAGGGAAUAGAAGCUCUCCUGAAAUGCAUCAGUGGACCCAGCUUUCUGCCCUGGGGUCGUUGAGCUUUGGUUUGAUAGUCCUCUGUUUGUCUACAACCCCAUUGCUACAACUAAGAAUGCCCUGGAACCUUUGGAAUGUCUGGGGUGUACUGCAGAAUUCUACUUUACCCUAUUGACA